AGAGUUUGAUCCUGGCUCAGAGCGAACGCUGGCGGCAGGCUUAACACAUGCAAGUCGAGCGGGCGUAGCAAUACGUCAGCGGCAGACGGGUGAGUAACGCGUGGGAACGUACCUUUUGGUUCGGAACAACACAGGGAAACUUGUGCUAAUACCGGAUAAGCCCUUACGGGGAAAGAUUUAUCGCCGAAAGAUCGGCCCGCGUCUGAUUAGCUAGUUGGUAGGGUAAUGGCCUACCAAGGCGACGAUCAGUAGCUGGUCUGAGAGGAUGAUCAGCCACAUUGGGACUGAGACACGGCCCAAACUCCUACGGGAGGCAGCAGUGGGGAAUAUUGGACAAUGGGGGCAACCCUGAUCCAGCCAUGCCGCGUGAGUGAUGAAGGCCCUAGGGUUGUAAAGCUCUUUUGUGCGGGAAGAUAAUGACGGUACCGCAAGAAUAG
RNAcentral lists this ribosomal RNA (437 nucleotides) under uncultured organism. RNAcentral describes it as "bacterial SSU rRNA". It matches the Rfam family "Bacterial small subunit ribosomal RNA", at positions 8 to 489 of the family's 1533-position model. The record is from RNAcentral.